GACGAACGCUGGCGGCGUGCUUAACACAUGCAAGUCGAACGGAAAGGCCCUGCUUUUGUGGGGUGCUCGAGUGGCGAACGGGUGAGUAACACGUGAGUAACCUGCCCUUGACUUUGGGAUAACUUCAGGAAACUGGGGCUAAUACCGGAUAGGAGCUCCUGCUGCAUGGUGGGGGUUGGAAAGUGUCGGCGGUUGGGGAUGGACUCGCGGCUUAUCAGCUUGUUGGUGAGGUAGUGGCUUACCAAGGCUUUGACGGGUAGCCGGCCUGAGAGGGUGACCGGCCACAUUGGGACUGAGAUACGGCCCAGACUCCUACGGGAGGCAGCAGUGGGGAAUAUUGCACAAUGGGCGGAAGCCUGAUGCAGCAACGCCGCGUGCGGGAUGACGGCCUUCGGGUUGUAAACCGCUUUCGCCUGUGACGAAGCGUGAGUGACGGUAAUGGGUAAAGAAGCACCGGCUAACUACGUG
Molecule: ribosomal RNA, 468 nt
Filed under: uncultured bacterium
Lineage: Bacteria
Description: partial 16S ribosomal RNA
Rfam family: Bacterial small subunit ribosomal RNA
Source: RNAcentral